UUAGUACUUCUGUUAAGAAUCUUCUGGCUGGUUGCCGUGGCUUACACCUGUAAUACUAGCACUUUGGGAGGUCCGAGGUGGGUGGAU
This is a long non-coding RNA of Sapajus apella (tufted capuchin), 87 nucleotides long. RefSeq lists it as uncharacterized. The transcript is spliced from 3 exons. NCBI's taxonomy places the organism in Eukaryota, Metazoa, Chordata, Mammalia, Primates, Cebidae. The record is from RefSeq and is a predicted model, not a curated record.